Long non-coding RNA from Heterocephalus glaber (naked mole-rat), 339 nucleotides. Lineage: Eukaryota; Metazoa; Chordata; Mammalia; Rodentia; Bathyergidae. The record is from Ensembl.
GUUCAUCAUUGGCCCUCUCAUCCAGGACAUAGGUGUACACCACUGAAGCUUGGCCUUUACUUCUGAUUGAUCAGGAAGCUGUGAGUGAGCCAGACACCUGAACUAUUUCUCUAGGAAUAUAUGCAAUGAAGGUGGUAUGUCUGAAUGAAAAAACAACCUACAAGGGGGUUUCACCCCAUAUUCUCAUUCCUGAAUGACAAUGAUUCCCUGAGUCCUUGGACGGAAGUUGUGUCCUGGCUCUGUUUUCCUAGAAACCCCCCAAAAGUAGUGCAAAUAGAACAGCAGCAGGUGCUCUUUUUCACUGAUGUUCAAAAACAAGGCCACUUCGAGCUCCUGGGA